UUGCAUAAGUCUACCAUUUUGCCUUCUGAGACUAAACACUGUCUCCAUCUGCAUUUGCAUGGCUAAAAGAUCGCCACUUUAUUUAUGUUUGCAUAGCUGAAUGAUCGCCACUUCAUUUUACAUUUUUGCAUGGCUGAAAGAUCGCCACUUUAUUUACGCUUGCAUGGCUGAAAGAUCGCCACUGAUUGCAUUUCAUGGGUUGAAAGAUCGCCACCUCCUACAUUUCAUGGGCUGAAAGAUCUCCAAAUUAUCUGAGGGCGUCAUUGUUCGGAGGCCUCGUUCUCAUAGCCCGAGAACCCCAUGUCAUGGCCUGAAGAUACUUUUAACUUUUUCGCACAUCAUCAUUCAAAGGCAUCAUGGUUCAGAGGCAUCAUUCUCAUUGCCCAGGAGCAUCAUUACAUAGCCUAUGAAUCCUUUAUUAUACGCUUCAUGGCCAAGGACGGCAUGGUCCGAGGACGUCAUCCCAACCAUCCAAAGACGAGAUUUAUGGUCCGACGAGAACUUGCAUCAUAUUUAGAUUUAUGCAUAAUAUACGCUAGUAUCGCUUAUUUGC
This 553-nucleotide long non-coding RNA is filed under the name Nicotiana benthamiana. RNAcentral describes it as "long non-coding RNA (NBEN_LNC010107)". Lineage: Eukaryota; Viridiplantae; Streptophyta; Magnoliopsida; Solanales; Solanaceae. The record is from RNAcentral.